AAUGCGGGGGGAAAGUUGUUGUUUUUUACCCAGACAUUUCAAAAUAAUACAUUUUAGAGCUAUAAUUGCAAUACCGCAAUACCGUUGAACCGUGGUAUUUUAGCUGAAGGUUAUCAUACAUUCAGAAUCU
Long non-coding RNA from Etheostoma spectabile (orangethroat darter), 130 nucleotides. RefSeq lists it as uncharacterized. Lineage: Eukaryota; Metazoa; Chordata; Actinopteri; Perciformes; Percidae. The record is from RefSeq and is a predicted model, not a curated record. The transcript is spliced from 3 exons.